CUCUCCACCGGCACUGGGACUGGUUAAAGUAGUUUUACGUAUGUCUUCACAUUGGAACUCGGUAGAGCAGUAAAGUUACAACACCUAACUGUAUUUCUCUCCUUGGGUCACAGUUUUAGAAAACAUCCUACACAACAGUGGAACACGUAUACCCGUCCCCACACACACCCGUCAUCAGGAGGAAAAGGCUCGAAAGAUACGCAACAGCACCUGACACCAUCUGAUACACUUCCUUCCGCACUUGUAAGCUGUGAAGCCUUCCUCGAACCAGCAGGUGGACUGUGACAGGGCGGGGACUGCCUCUGUACACUCAGUUUCACCUGUGACCAAUGGUUGCCACAUGAUUUUUCUCCAUCUUUCUGCGCAGAAACAUUCUGAACUACGAAGCGGCCUGGAACAAAAAGAAAUUGGCAAUUUUAGAAGUGCAUCUAAAGCUCCGUAAAGAAGUCAAAGGCCCGAAAAUACAGCUUGAAAGUACACUAGUCCUAAAUCUCCCCAAUUUUCUCUACCAACUGAAUUAAGAAUCUUUUUCACUACAAACAUAAAAUAAACUUAGUUAUAUGGUAUACUUCA
Long non-coding RNA from Panthera uncia (snow leopard), 573 nucleotides. RefSeq lists it as uncharacterized. The record is from RefSeq and is a predicted model, not a curated record. The transcript has 3 exons. NCBI's taxonomy places the organism in Eukaryota, Metazoa, Chordata, Mammalia, Carnivora, Felidae.